ACGAUUCUAGCCUUUGCGAAUUUUGAGUCCCCAUUGCUGCAUUGUGGCUCUGCAGGCAGCUCGCAAAAUUCUUACUCGCAAGACGUGAGGAAAGAAGCAGUCUUUGACAGAACAAAUGGCAUUCAAUCCUUUAUCACCUUCUCGGUCACAUUUUAUCAGUACCUUGGUUGCGUUUUUCAUUAGCAUCAAAAUGGGCAUUGGCAAGGAGAAGACUGUAAAACCAUCUUAAGCUUGCCCACCCAUUCAUCAAUGUCAUUUUGAGUUUAAUAACCAUUCAUACACAACACUAUUUAGAUGUUUAUUAAAAAUGAAUCGAUUUCACUAUUCUAAUUGAUGAACGGUCGAACCGGUUCAUCCUUAACCUUUAUAUUUUCCCGGUUCAAAUACCGGGAUCUAACAGCACUACACUGCAAAUCGGCAAUCAUCUUGUUAGUUGUUACAUGGUUACAUCUUGCAUCGUCCAUUAGAAUCAUUUCACGUUUACUCAAUCGCAGAGAGCUAGAACACAUAUUCUUCUCAACUGUUUCAUAUCUCCAGAAUCCUCGACCUCCGAAGAUUCCAGAUCUGAUGCUUGAAAUUCUUCAGAGACAGAGAAAGAGAGAUUUCAGUUAAUGGCUGGGGCAGUUUCUGCUCUGUUUCUCUUAGACAUAAAGGGGCGGGUUCUGGUGUGGCGCGACUACCGUGGGGAUGUCUCCGCCGUUCAAGCUGAACGCUUCUUUACGAAGCUCAUCGAGAAAGAGGGAGAUCCGCAGUCUCAAGAUCCGGUUGUCUACGAUAAUGGAGUCACUUACAUGUUUAUACAACACAGUAACGUUUACCUCAUGACCGCGUCGAGGCAGAACUGCAAUGCUGCUGGUCUCCUCUCCUUUCUCCUCCGUGUAGUUGAUGUUUUUAAGCAUUAUUUCGAAGAAUUGGAAGAAGAAUCGCUUAGGGAUAACUUUGUGGUAGUGUAUGAGUUACUUGAUGAAAUGAUGGACUUUGGCUAUCCUCAGUACACGGAAGCAAAAAUUCUUAGUGAAUUUAUCAAGACUGAUGCCUACAGGAUGGAAACUAAUCAGAGGCCUCCCAUGGCUGUCACAAAUGCAGUGUCUUGGCGAAGUGAAGGGAUAUUUUACAAGAAGAAUGGAGUUUUAUUGGAUGUCGUGGAGAGUGUUAAUAUUCUUGUCAAUAGCAAUGGACAAGUAAUUAGGUCAGAGGUUGUUGGCGCACUGAAGAUGAGAACUUAUUUGAGUGGUAUGCCUGAAUGCAAGCUUGGCCUGAAUGAUAGAGUAUUAUUGGAGGCCCAAGGUCGUGCAACAAAAGGAAAGGCCAUUGAUUUGGAGGAUAUCAAAUUUCAUCAAUGUGUGCGUUUAGCCCGAUUUGAGAAUGACCGGACAAUAUCCUUCAUACCACCUGAUGGGUCUUUUGAUUUGAUGACAUAUAGACUCAGCACUCAGGUUAAGCCUCUGAUUUGGGUGGAAGCUCAAGUUGAAAAGCAUUCAAGAAGUCGUGUUGAGAUCAUGGUAAAAGCUAGGAGUCAGUUCAAGGAGCUUAGCACUGCAACAAAUGUUGAGAUUGAGUUGCCAGUGCCAACUGAUGCUUCCAAUCCUAACGUUCGGACAUCAAUGGGAUCUGCAUCAUUUGCACCUGAAAAUGAUGCAUUAAUGUGGAAAAUUAAAUCUUUUCCUGGUGGAAAGGAGUACAUGUUGAGGGCAGAGUUCAGUCUUCCAAGCAUAAAUGCUGAAGAAGGAGCUACUGAGAGAAAGGCUCCAAUUCGUGUGAAGUUUGAGAUACCAUAUUUUACUGUUUCAGGAAUACAGGUUCGGUACCUGAAGAUUAUUGAGAAAAGUGGCUACCAGGCUCUUCCAUGGGUGAGAUAUAUAACUACGGCUGGUGAGUAUGAUCUUAGGCUUAUUUAAGGCUGCUCCAUCAACUGGCAUUAUGGAACUGCUAAAUUUAUCUGCGAGGUGGAAUAUCAGAGGAAGCCAUGGAUUAACAAGGAGCCAUGGGAAGUCAGUUUUCCAGUGCUCGUGGUAGUUCAGAUUAUAAAAAGUAGCAGUGCCUAUAAAGCAGUAGCAGAAAAACAGCAAGUUUUCUUCUAUAAAAACAGGAGUAGUGCCUAUAAAACUGGUGGAUGCCAUGACAAGAAAAAAUGUUCUAAAUUUGGUU
Hevea brasiliensis (rubber tree) is the source of this 2148-nucleotide RNA transcript. It is a transcript of the gene named AP-1 complex subunit mu-2, with no coding region annotated. NCBI's taxonomy places the organism in Eukaryota, Viridiplantae, Streptophyta, Magnoliopsida, Malpighiales, Euphorbiaceae. The transcript has 12 exons. The record is from RefSeq and is a predicted model, not a curated record.